This 1274-nucleotide ribosomal RNA is filed under the name Campylobacter coli. RNAcentral's name for it is "bacterial SSU rRNA". It matches the Rfam family "Bacterial small subunit ribosomal RNA", at positions 242 to 1533 of the family's 1533-position model. Lineage: Bacteria; Pseudomonadati; Campylobacterota; Epsilonproteobacteria; Campylobacterales; Campylobacteraceae. The record is from RNAcentral.
CAGCUAGUUGGUAAGGUAAGGGCUUACCAAGGCUAUGACGCAUAACUGGUCUGAGAGGAUGAUCAGUCACACUGGAACUGAGACACGGUCCAGACUCCUACGGGAGGCAGCAGUAGGGAAUAUUGCUCAAUGGGCGAAAGCCUGAAGCAGCAACGCCGCGUGGAGGAUGACACUUUUCGGAGCGUAAACUCCUUUUCUUAGGGAAGAACAAUGACGGUACCUAAGGAAUAAGCACCGGCUAACUCCGUGCCAGCAGCCGCGGUAAUACGGAGGGUGCAAGCGUUACUCGGAAUCACUGGGCGUAAAGGACGCGUAGGCGGAUUAUCAAGUCUUUUGUGAAAUCUAAUGGCUUAACCAUUAAACUGCUUGAGAAACUGAUAAUCUAGAGUGAGGGAGAGGCAGAUGGAAUUGGUGGUGUAGGGGUAAAAUCCGUAGAGAUCACCAAGAAUACCCAUUGCGAAGGCGAUCUGCUAGAACUCAACUGACGCUAAUGCGUGAAAGCGUGGGGAGCAAACAGGAUUAGAUACCCUGGUAGUCCACGCCCUAAACGAUGUAUACUAGUUGUUGCUCUGCUAGUCAGGGCAGUAAUGCACCUAACGGAUUAAGUAUACCGCCUGGGGAGUACGGUCGCAAGAUUAAAACUCAAAGGAAUAGACGGGGACCCGCACAAGCGGUGGAGCAUGUGGUUUAAUUCGAAGAUACGCGAAGAACCUUACCUGGGCUUGAUAUCCUAAGAACCUCUUAGAGAUAAGAGGGUGCUAGCUUGCUAGAACUUAGUGACAGGUGCUGCACGGCUGUCGUCAGCUCGUGUCGUGAGAUGUUCGGUUAAGUCCGGCAACGAGCGCAACCCACGUAUUUAGUUGCUAACAGUUUGGCUGAGCACUCUAAAUAUACUGCCUUCGUAAGGAGGAGGAAGGUGUGGACGACGUCAAGUCAUCAUGGCCCUUAUGCCCAGGGCGACACACGUGCUACAAUGGCAUAUACAAUGAGACGCAAUAUCGCGAGAUGGAGCAAAUCUAUAAAAUAUGUCCCAGUUCGGAUUGGAGUCUGCAACUCGACUCCAUGAAGCCGGAAUCGCUAGUAAUCGUAGAUCAGCCAUGCUACGGUGAAUACGUUCCCGGGUCUUGUACUCACCGCCCGUCACACCAUGGGAGUUGAUUUCACUCGAAGCCGGAAUACUAAACUAGUUACCGUCCACAGUGGAAUCAGCGACUGGGGUGAAGUCGUAACAAGGUAACCGUAGGAGAACCUGCGGUUGGAUCACCUCCUUUCUA